This 304-nucleotide ribosomal RNA is filed under the name uncultured bacterium. Its description in RNAcentral is "partial 16S ribosomal RNA". It matches the Rfam family "Bacterial small subunit ribosomal RNA", at positions 506 to 809 of the family's 1533-position model. The record is from RNAcentral.
CAGCAGCAGCCGCGGGAAUACGUAGGGUGCAAGCGUUAAUCGGAAUUACUGGGCGUAAAGCGUGCGCAGGCGGUUAUAUAAGACAGAUGUGAAAUCCCCGGGCUCAACCUGGGAACUGCAUUUGUGACUGUAUAGCUAGAGUACGGCAGAGGGGGAUGGAAUUCCGCGUGUAGCAGUGAAAUGCGUAGAUAUGCGGAGGAACACCGAUGGCGAAGGCAAUCCCCUGGGCCUGUACUGACGCUCAUGCACGAAAGCGUGGGGAGCAAACAGGAUUAGAUACCCCCGUAGUCCCUGUCUCUUAUAU